RNAcentral lists this ribosomal RNA (494 nucleotides) under uncultured bacterium. RNAcentral describes it as "partial 16S ribosomal RNA". It matches the Rfam family "Bacterial small subunit ribosomal RNA", at positions 28 to 507 of the family's 1533-position model. The record is from RNAcentral.
GACGAACGCUGGCGGCGUGCUUAACACAUGCAAGUCGAACGGAAAGGCCUGCUUUCCCUUGUGGAUUGCGGGUACUCGAGUGGCGAACGGGUGAGUAACACGUGAGUGAUCUGCCCCCAACUUGGGUAUAAGCCUGGGAUACUGGGUCUAAUUCCCGAUAGGACUGCAGGGUGGUGCCUGUGGUGGAAAACGAUUUUCUAGUGGUUGGGGAUGAGCUCGCGGCCUAUCAGCUUGUUGGUGGGGUAAUGGCCUACCAAGGCGGCGACGGGUAGCCGGCCUGGGAGGGUGGACGGCCACAUUGGGACUGAGAUACGGCCCAGACUCCUACGGGAGGCAGCAGUGGGGAAUAUUGCACAAUGGGCGGAAGCCUGAUGCAGCGACGCCGCGUGGGGGAUGACGGCCUUCGGGUUGUAAACUCCUUUCGACCGCGAGGAAGCCACCUGGUUGGAAGGGUGGUGACGGUAGUGGUAGAAGAAGCACCGGCUAACUACGUG